RNAcentral lists this long non-coding RNA (610 nucleotides) under Homo sapiens (human). RNAcentral describes it as "HSALNT0299679". Lineage: Eukaryota; Metazoa; Chordata; Mammalia; Primates; Hominidae. The record is from RNAcentral.
UGUGAGGGCACAGCAAGAAGACCAUGCUCUAUAAAUCAGAAAAUGGGUCCUUACAGACCAAACUGGCUGGCACCUUUAUUGUGGACUUUCCAAUCUGUGGAAAUUUUUUAUAGACCAAAGUUAAGGCUGAAUUGAGAAGGCUCAGAAGACCCUGGCUAGAGUUUCGUCAAGUUUAAAAUGAUCGUCAACUCUGUAUACAUCAAAAUUGAGUUCAGUGCGUGCUGGACUGUUUUCUCUGUUUCAAUAGUAUAUGACUCAUUAAAAUAUGUUGUUACUACUUUUUCUUCAAUCAUAUUGGAUUAGGGACACUUUCUACUAGAGUAUGUUCUCAUCUUCAAUUAACUAAUUACAUCUGCAAUGGUCCUAUUUCCAAAUAAGGGUACAUUCUGAGAUAGUUGGGGGUAUGACUUCAAUAUAUGAGUCUGUGGGGAUACAAUUCUUACCAUAAUUUACAUGAUGUGUUAGGUAAAGAUAAACAGGCGUUUAGUGUGAAGUUUAUGUUUAUGUGUUAGGCUAUGUUUAUCGCUAGUUUUACCUCUGAUGUCAGAGGCCAUAAUUUGCUCUAGUGUUCUUAUUUUUGUGUCCUCUGUUAUCUUUGGCUUUUCUACAG